GGUGGUGGUGGAGGAGGUUCCGGUGGCGGAGGAGGUGGUGGUGGUAAUGUAAGCAAUAUUUGUGUUUUACAGUAGACAAAUAACAAAAAAAAAACAAAAAUGUGUCAUUUAAAAAAAGGCGGAGGAGGCGGUGGUGGUGAUAAAGGUGGUAAUAAAAGUAAAGGUGGCGCUGCUGACAAGGGUGGCGGUGGAAAAAAAGGACAAGACCAAAAAGCAGCUGGUG
RNAcentral lists this unclassified non-coding RNA (223 nucleotides) under Lucilia cuprina (Australian sheep blowfly). RNAcentral describes it as "putative glycine-rich cell wall structural protein 1, transcript variant X1". Lineage: Eukaryota; Metazoa; Arthropoda; Insecta; Diptera; Calliphoridae. The record is from RNAcentral.